Molecule: long non-coding RNA, 103 nt
Organism: Strigops habroptila (Kakapo)
Lineage: Eukaryota; Metazoa; Chordata; Aves; Psittaciformes; Psittacidae
Exons: 3
Source: RefSeq, a predicted model, not a curated record
GUCCUGUGUUGGGGAAUCCACCACUUCUCUGGAGAGAUUGUUCCAAUGGCAGGUUCUUCUCAUCGUGAAAAAUUUUCCCUUGUGUCCAACUGGAAUGUCUAAA